This 253-nucleotide ribosomal RNA is filed under the name uncultured bacterium. RNAcentral describes it as "partial 16S ribosomal RNA". It matches the Rfam family "Bacterial small subunit ribosomal RNA", at positions 524 to 776 of the family's 1533-position model. The record is from RNAcentral.
UACAGAGGUCUCGAGCGUUAGGCGGAAUCACUGGGCUUAAAGCGUGUGUAGGCGGACCCCUAAGUGUCUUGUGAAAUCCCACGGCUCACCCGUGGAACUGCUGGGCAUACUGGGGGUCUUGGGCCGUUCAGGGGCGACUGGAACAAGCGGUGGAGCGGUGAAAUGCGUAGAUAUCGCUUGGAACGCCGAAGGUGAAAACAGGUCGCUGGGGACGCGCCGACGCUGAGACACGAAAGCCAGGGGAGCAAACGGG